This 1056-nucleotide long non-coding RNA is filed under the name Cyanistes caeruleus (blue tit). RNAcentral describes it as "lncRNA (ENSCCEG00000010393.1)". Lineage: Eukaryota; Metazoa; Chordata; Aves; Passeriformes; Paridae. The record is from RNAcentral.
AUGGGAUUUGUAAGGAAUGGUUGGAUUUUAGGGAUAAGGAAUGGUUGGAUUUUAGGGAAUGGGGAUUUUGUUAGGAAUUAUUUGAUUUCAAGGAGCUGCUGCUGCUCCCUCCAUCCCAAAUCCACCCCAAAUCCAUCCCAGAUCCACCCCAAAUCCACCCCAAAUCCAUCCCAAAUCCAUCCCAGAUCCACCCCAAAUCCAUCCCAAAUCCAUCCCAAAUCCAUCCCAAAUCCUCCCAAAUCCACCCCAAAUCCACCCCAGAUCCAUCCCAGAUCCAUCCCAGAUCCAUCCCAGAUCCAUCCCAAAUCCACCCCAGAUCCACCCCAGAUCCAUCCCAAAUCCACCCCAAAUCCAUCCCAAAUCCAUCCCAAAUCCAUCCCAAAUCCACCCCAAAUCCAUCCCAGAUCCAUCCCAAAUCCAUCCCAAAUCCACCCCAAAUCCAUCCCAAAUCCACCCCAAAUCCACCCCAAAUCCACCCCAAAUCCAUCCCAAAUCCAUCCCAAAUCCACCCCAAAUCCACCCCAAAUCCACCCCAAAUCCAUCCCAAAUCCAUCCCAAAUCCAUCCAGGAUCCAUCCCAAAUCCACCCCAAAUCCAUCCCAAAUCCACCCCAAAUCCACCCCAAAUCCACCCCAAAUCCAUCCCAAAUCCAUCCCAAAUCCACCCAAAUCCACCCCAAAUCCAUCCCAAAUCCACCCCAAAUCCACCCCAGAUCCAUCCCAAAUCCACCCCAAAUCCACCCCAAAUCCACCCCAAAUCCACCCCAAAUCCACCCCAAAUCCAUCCCAAAUCCACCCCAAAUCCACCCCAAAUCCAUCCCAAAUCCACCCCAAAUCCAUCCCAAAUCCACCCCAAAUCCAUCCCAAAUCCACCCCAAAUCCAUCCCGCUCCAAACCCCGGUGGUUCUGAAGGAGCAAUGACCAUUUACUGUUGGAAUUCCCAUCCUGGGAAUCGGGAUUGGGAACGAUUCCCUGGAAUUCUCCCUUCCCUCUGCCUCCUUUGGGGUGAUGGGAUGCGGGAAUCCCGCUCGGAUCCCUCUGGAAUCGGAAAAUCCUGA